RNAcentral lists this long non-coding RNA (4308 nucleotides) under Lotus japonicus. Its description in RNAcentral is "long non-coding RNA (LJAP_LNC001075)". Lineage: Eukaryota; Viridiplantae; Streptophyta; Magnoliopsida; Fabales; Fabaceae. The record is from RNAcentral.
GAGGUUCAGAAGAUCAGAGGAUCAGAAGAUCUGAGGAUCAGAAGAUCUGAAGACCAGAAGCUCUGAGGGACCAGAGGCUCUGAAGGUCCAGAAGCUCUGAAGGUCCAGAAGCAGAAGUUACGAAGGUUAGAGGAUCCAAGCAUCCCUCUGACUCUGAUCACCAAGCUUCACAAGUUCCAACACGAAGCAUAACUCUGAUCAGAUGUCAUUGGUUAAAGGCAAAUGUCUCUAUCAAGAAGUACAAGAGCAGUGUACUAUUCUGACAAGCCUACCUACCAAGGUUCAGCCACAGCAGGUUCUGGAAGUUCCAGAAAUGCCCUCCAACGGUCAUAUUCUCUCAACAGAAAUAUCCUUUGCACCUUGGACUAUAAAAGGCUGAAAAAAAAGAAGAAAGCUAAGAGAGAGAAACCAAGAGCUGCAAUACAAGAAAAGAUUCAAGCCUCUACUUUCUUCAUCUGUUCUUAUUUAGUUUACACUCAGCUUAUUUAGAAGCAAACCUUUGUAAACACCAACCUCAAACAGUUGUUUGAUUUUCCUUAAGGGACCGGGUAGGUCAGUAUUCUUAAGAAGACUAAGAGAGUGAAUCUUAGUGGUGAUUCCUUUAGGAGAUCAAGGUUGAUCGGAUCCUAGAGAAGACUAAGAGAGUGAAUCUUAGUGUGAGCUAAGUCAGUGUAUUGUUAGUCACUUGUAUGUUUCAAGUGCAGUUGUAACAAUUAUCUGAUUAGUGGAUUGCCUUCAUUCUAAGAAGGAAGAAAUCACCUUAACGGGUGGACUGGAUUAGCUUGAGGGAUUUAUCAAGUGAACCAGGAUAAAAUACUUGUGUGCUUCUCUCUUCUCUCUAUCUUUAUCCGCCGCACCAUCUAUCUUAGAGAAACCGAAAAGAUUUACUUUAAAUCUUAAGGGGAAAGUUUUUAUAUUGAAAACGCUAUUCAACCCCCCCUUCUAGUCGUUUUUCACACCUUCAAUUGGUAUCAGAGCGCAAGUUCUGAUUACCACACUUAACAGUGUUCAGUAGAUCCGGGCCAGUGUGAAAAACUCAUGGAUUCCACCACUACUACAAGCAAAUAUCAAUACAGUGCAAGACCACCUAUCUUUGAUGGUCAGAGAUUUGAUUUCUGGAAAGACAGAAUCAAAAGCUUCUUUCUUGGCUUUGAUCCUGAUCUUUGGGAUUUUGUUGUUGAUGGCUACACCCCUCCUGUUGAUGUACAUGGUGUAAAGAUCCCAAGGAAGAAGAUGAGUGAAGAUCAAAAGAAGGAGUUCAGAGAUCAUCACAGAUCAAGAGUUAUUCUGCAAAGUGCCAUUUCAUAUGAAGAAUAUGAGAAAAUUACUGAUCGUGAUUCCGCUAAGUGUAUCCUUGAUUCCUUAAAGAUGACACAUGAAGGAAACAAGAAGGUGAAAAAAUCAAAGGCGCUGUCCUUGAUCCAGAAAUAUGAAUCCUUCAUCAUGGAACCUAACGAAUCCAUUGAGGAUAUGUUUUCCAGAUUUCAGUUGCUCGUAGCUGGAAUACGACCUCUCAACAAGAGCUACACAACUAAAGAUCAUGUCAUAAGGGUCAUCAGAUGUCUUCCUAAAAGCUGGAUGCCCUUGGUGACUUCAAUAGAGCUCACAAGAGAUGUUGAGCAUAUGAGUUUAGAAGAACUCAUCAGCAUACUGAAAUGUCAUGAGCUGAAGCGCUCUGAGAAGGCUAAAUCUGAGAAGUCAAAAGCUCUUCAAGCUGGAGCAGAAGAAUCUGAAGAAGCAUCAGAAGAUUCUGAUGAAGAUGAGCUGACUCUGAUAUCCAGAAAGUUCAACUGCAUCUGGAAGCACAGGCAGAGCAAAUACAAAGGUUCAUCAAAGGACGAAAAGUCAAAGAAGCAUUUCAAACCAAAGAAAAGUCUGAUGGUGACUUUUGAUGAAUCAGAAUCAGAGGAUGUUGACUCUGAUGGUGAAGUCCAAGGACUCAUGGCUAUUGUCAAAGACAAAGGAGCAGAGUAAAAGGAAGCUGUUGACUCUGACUCAGAAUCAGAAGGAGAUCCUAACUCAGACGAUGAAAAUAAGGUAUUCGCUUCUUUCUCUACCUCUGAACUGAAACAUGCUUUGUCUGAUAUUAUGGAUAAGCAUAACUCUUUGUUGUCUAAGCAUAAGAAGCUGAAAAAGAACUUAUCUGCUGUUUCUAAAACCCCUUCUAAAGAUGAGAAAAUCAUAUCUGAUUUGAAAAAUGAUAACCAUGCUUUAGUUAAUUCUAACUCUGUGCUUAAGAAUCAAAUUGCUAAGUUAGAAGAAGUUAUUGCCUGCGAUGCCUCUGAUAGUAAGCAUGAGUCUAAGUAUGAAAAGUCCUUUCAAAGAUUCCUGGCUAAAAGCGUAGAUAGAAGCUUGAUGGCUUCAUUAAUCUAUGGCGUGAGCAGAAAUGGAAUGCAUGACAUUGGCUAUUCUAAACCAAUUAGAAAUGAGCCUUCUCUGCCUAAAGCUAAAUCUUUGUAUGAAUGCUUUGUUCCCUCUGGUACCAUAUUGCCUGAUCCUUUACCUGCUGAAGUUGCUAAACCUCCUCUUAAAAAGGGAUCUUUCUCUAUGUCUAAAUAUCAUGCAAAAAUUCCUUUACAUUAUCAUGUUGAGAAACCCAAAGUUGUCAGAACUUCUGGGCUAACUAACAAGAAAGGACCCAGAAAGUGGGUACCUAGGGAUAAGAUUAUAUAUGUUGCAGAUAUCUUCAAUAGGUCCAUCGAAACUCCAACCAUGGAACCUGGACAGUGGAUGCAGGCAACACAUGACGGGAGAAAGGCAUAUGUCCCAAGAUCCAAAACUUGAACCUGAAGGUGAAGUUAAUCUUGGAGGCAUCAGUAGAGUAAGAUUUGGUCAAGUCAAAACUAGCUGAAAAAGCUUGCAGAGAUGAGCAUGACCGUUUCAGAAAGAAACAAAGACUCAGAACUUGACAAACCAGAAGCAACAACAUCAGAAGAUGCUACUACAACUUCUGACUUGCGUCAUCAGAAGAAGAGUAGGUUCCUAGCUUCUCAUUCUGAAGUAUCUGAAGAUGAAAUUUUGUCCAGAACGGAGAUGUCACCAGAACCACACUUCUGCUCUCAUCAGAAGAUACACUAAUCAGCAGCCAAGUAUCCCUUGGUAUUCCUUCUGAGGGGGAGUAUUUCGUCUUAUGCUCUUACUAUUUUUUUUUUUCCACCUUCAUUCUUUUUGCUUAUGACAAAAAGGGGGAGAACUUAUAGUAUCUUGACAACUCCUAUAUUAUUUAGCUCAGAAUCUAGAUAUUACUAACGUUGAUAUUAAGUAUUAGAUUCAGGGGGAGCUUAGCUCAGAAUCAAGCACGAGUCUUGGAUUCAGAAGGAGCAAGAUAAACUAUACACAUCAGGAUAAGUUUUAACUCUGAUACCUUAUACUCUGAGUGUAUUCAGUUUAUUUGUUUAGAGUUUUUCAUCAAAAUACAUGGUUUUGUCAUCAUCAAAAAGGGGGAGAUUGUAAGAUCAAGAUUUGGUCAUGUGGUACAACUCUAUGUUUUGAUGAUAACAAGUAUUUAUUUGUGGAUGAACAACUAUGAUACUCUAAUGUUUGUCUUGAGUGUUUUGACAAACAGGUUUUGAUUCUGACACCAGAAGAUAUAUUCGUCAGAAGUUCUGAAGAUCAAAAGAUCUGAAGAUCAGAGGAUCUGAGGAUCAGAGGAUCUGAGGAUCAGAGGAUCAGAAGAUCAGAGGAUCAGAAGAUCUGAGGAUCAGAAGAUCUGAAGACCAGAAGCUCUGAGGGACCAGAGGCUCUGAAGGUCCAGAAGCUCUGAAGGUCCAGAAGCAGAAGUUACGAAGGUUAGAGGAUCCAAGCAUCCCUCUGACUCUGAUCACCAAGCUUCACAAGUUCCAACACGAAGCAUAACUCUGAUCAGAUGUCAUUGGUUAAAGGCAAAUGCCUCUAUCAAGAAGUACAAGAGCAGUGUACUAUUCUGACAAGCCUACCUACCAAGGUUCAACCACAGCAGGUUCUGGAAGUUCCAGAAAUGCCCUCCAACGGUCAUAUUCUCUCAACAGAAAUAUCCUUUGCACCUUGGACUAUAAAAGGCUGAAAAAAAAGAAGAAAGCUAAGAGAGAGAAACCAAGAGCUGCAAUACAAGAAAAGAUUCAAGCCUCUACUUUCUUCAUCUGUUCUUAUUUAGUUUACACUCAGCUUAUUUAGAAGCAAACCUUUGUAAACACCAACCUCAAACAGUUGUUUGAUUUUCCUUAAGGGACCGGGUAGGUCAGUAUUCUUAAGAAGACUAAGAGAGUGAAUCUUAGUGGUGAUUCCUUUAGGAGAUCAAGGUUGAUCGGAUCCUAGAGAAGACUAAGAGAG